UGCUCCUCGGGAGGCAGCAGUGAGGAAUAUUGGUCAAUGGGCGGAAGCCUGAACCAGCCAAGUCGCGUGAGGGAUUAAGGCCCUAUGGGUCGCAAACCUCUUUUGUCAGGGAGCAAGGUCGUCCACGUGUGGGCGUAUGGAGAGUACCUGAAGAAAAAGCAUCGGCUAACUCCGUGCCAGCAGCCGCGGUAAUACGGAGGAUGCGAGCGUUAUCCGGAUUUAUUGGGUUUAAAGGGUGCGCAGGCGGUCUGUUAAGUCAGCGGUCAAAGCCCGGGGCUCAACCCCGGCCCGCCGUUGAAACUGGC
RNAcentral lists this ribosomal RNA (305 nucleotides) under uncultured bacterium. RNAcentral describes it as "bacterial SSU rRNA". It matches the Rfam family "Bacterial small subunit ribosomal RNA", at positions 334 to 637 of the family's 1533-position model. The record is from RNAcentral.